UAUUUCGAUAAGUUCGAAAUAACACCCUUUAAGGCCAAGGGCCUUCUCAAAAGAAGAAGAGUUCGACCUUGAUCGAAUGAGGAUGGGUUAACAUUUUGAUAAGUUCGAAAUAACGCCCUUUAAGGUCAAGGGGUUUUGGCCAAUGAAGAAGAGUUCAACCUUGAUCGAACGACGACGGGUUAAUAUUUCGAUAAGUUCGAAAUAACACCCUUUAAGGCCAAGGGCCUUCACCAAAGAAGAUUAGUUCGACCUUGAUCGAAUGACGAUGGGUUAACAUUUCGAUAAGUUCGAAAUAAAACCCUUUAUGGCCAAGGGACUUUGCCAAAGAAGAAGAGUUCGAUCUUGAUCGAACGAUGACGGGUUAAAUUUUCGACAAGUUAGAAAUAAUACACUUUAAGGCCAAAGAAGAAGUUUUCGACCAUGAUAGAACGACGACGGGUUAAUAUUUUGACAAGUUCGAAAUAAUACACUUUAAGGCCAAGGCCUGCGUCAAAGAAGAAGUGUUCGACCUUGAUCGAACGACGACGGGUUAAUAUUUUGACAAGUUCGAAAUAAUACACUUUAAGGCCAAGGGCCUUCGCCAAGAAGAAGAGUUCGACCUUGAUCGAACGACGACGGGUUAUCAUUUCGAUUAGUUCGAAAUAACAACCUUAAGGACAAGGUCCUUCGUCUAAGAAGAAGAGUUCGACCUUGAUCGAAUGACGACGGGUUAACAUUUUGAUAACUUCGAAAAGACACCCUUUAAGGUCAAGGGCCUUCGCCAAAGAAGAAGAGUUCGACCUUGAUCGUACGACGACGGGUUAAUAUUUCUACAAGUUAGAAAUAACACCCUUUAAGGCCAAUGGCCUUCUCCAAAGAAGAAGAGUUCGACCUUGAUCGAAUGACGACGGGUUAACAUUUCGAUAAGUUCGAAAUAACAUCCUUUAU
RNAcentral lists this long non-coding RNA (927 nucleotides) under Nicotiana tabacum (common tobacco). RNAcentral's name for it is "long non-coding RNA (NTAB_LNC012415)". Lineage: Eukaryota; Viridiplantae; Streptophyta; Magnoliopsida; Solanales; Solanaceae. The record is from RNAcentral.